This 492-nucleotide ribosomal RNA is filed under the name uncultured bacterium. Its description in RNAcentral is "partial 16S ribosomal RNA". It matches the Rfam family "Bacterial small subunit ribosomal RNA", at positions 29 to 507 of the family's 1533-position model. The record is from RNAcentral.
AGUGAACGCUGGCGGUAGGCCUAACACAUGCAAGUCGAACGGCAGCACAGUAAGAGCUUGCUCUUACGGGUGGCGAGUGGCGGACGGGUGAGGAAUACAUCGGAAUCUACUUUUUCGUGGGGGAUAACGUAGGGAAACUUACGCUAAUACCGCAUACGACCUACGGGUGAAAGCAGGGGAUCUUCGGACCUUGCGCGAUUGAAUGAGCCGAUGUCGGAUUAGCUAGUUGGCGGGGUAAAGGCCCACCAAGGCGACGAUCCGUAGCUGGUCUGAGAGGAUGAUCGGCGACACUGGAGCUGAGACACGGUCCAUACUCCUACGGGAGGCAGCAGUGGGGAAUAUUGGACAAUGGGCGCAAGCCCGAUCCAGCCAUACCGCGUGGGUGAAGAAGGCCUUCGGGUUGUAAAGCCCUUUUGUUGGGAAAGAAAAGCAGCAGGUUAAUACCCCGCUGUUCUGACGGUACCCAAAGAAUAAGCACCGGCUAACUUCGUG